Molecule: ribosomal RNA, 253 nt
Filed under: uncultured bacterium
Lineage: Bacteria
Description: partial 16S ribosomal RNA
Rfam family: Bacterial small subunit ribosomal RNA
Source: RNAcentral
UACGUAGGGGGCAAGCGUUGUCCGGAUUUAUUGGGCGUAAAGAGCUCGUAGGCGGCUCGUCGCGUCGACUGUGAAAACUCGGGGCUUAACCCUGGGCUUGCAGUCGAUACGGGCGGGCUAGAGUUCGGUAGGGGAGACUGGAAUUCCUGGUGUAGCGGUGAAAUGCGCAGAUAUCAGGAGGAACACCGGUGGCGAAGGCGGGUCUCUGGGCCGAUACUGACGCUGAGGAGCGAAAGCGUGGGGAGCGAACAGG